UGGUGCGAUCAUACCAGUGUUAAUGCACCAGAUCCCAUCAAAACUCUGCAGUUCAGCACGAUUGGGCUAGAGUAGUACUGGGAUGGGUGUCCUCUCGGGAAGUCCUAGUGUUGCGCCCU
Non-coding RNA from Picea glauca (white spruce), 119 nucleotides. The record is from Rfam. NCBI's taxonomy places the organism in Eukaryota, Viridiplantae, Streptophyta, Pinopsida, Pinales, Pinaceae.